RNAcentral lists this long non-coding RNA (474 nucleotides) under Elaeis guineensis (African oil palm). RNAcentral describes it as "long non-coding RNA (EGUI_LNC081090)". The record is from RNAcentral. Lineage: Eukaryota; Viridiplantae; Streptophyta; Magnoliopsida; Arecales; Arecaceae.
UGAUCGAUCAAAUGGUCUCCGGUCACUUCCCCAUCGAGAAUGCUGUACCAUGCCAAUGAUUCAUUUUCAAUCAAAAAAGCAGUGGAAUCCUAGGCCCUACCUGGCUCUUCCUCUACCAACACCAGCGAUUGCUCAGGCCAGCCAAUGCCGCAGCUUUGCCACGGACCAUGGAAGUCGCGGGUGGACUCGAUGGCACUGUCAAGGCGGAACAUGAUGCUUGGAGGUCUACACCAUUCAGCAGAUGAAGGACUCCUUCAUCUAGUUGAGAAAGAAUGAGUGGCUUUCCUCCAUCUAGGGACUGUCCAUCAUCGACUUGAGGUCCAUCGAUCAAACGAUAGAGAAAGAUAGAGCUCCGAGAAACGACGCGUGACGGCCUCAAUUCCUUUCGAUUCACUUCCACGAACACUUACGACGACGGAGAGGGAGAGGCUGUCGAUGAUGAUGGGCAACGACCGCCGCUGCCGACGCACGACG